This 75-nucleotide antisense RNA is filed under the name Actinacidiphila glaucinigra. RNAcentral describes it as "Streptomyces glauciniger ASpks TB sRNA". It matches the Rfam family "ASpks TB sRNA". The record is from Rfam by way of RNAcentral. Lineage: Bacteria; Bacillati; Actinomycetota; Actinomycetes; Kitasatosporales; Streptomycetaceae.
CUUGAGGGAGCCCAGGCGCAGGGGGUUUCCCUCGGGCCGGUCCUGACCGUAGGUGGCCAGCAGCGCCUGCGCCUC